UAGGCCAGCGACGGACUGUAUUUGGCAGACUGAGGAUUGUAGCUUGGGGAUGUAGGACUAUAGGUUGGUGAAGUUGGGCUAUAACUUGGUGAAGUUGGACUAUAACCAGGAGAAGUGGGGCUAUAGGCUGGUGAAGUGGGGCUGUACGAUGGAGAAGUAGGGCUGUAUGACGGUGAGGUAGGGCUGUACGAAGGUGAUGUUGGGCUGUAGGAAGGAGAGGUUGGGCUGUACGAUGGUGAGGUGGGGCUGUAUGCAGGUGAGGUGGGGCUAUAUGCAGGUGAGGUGGGGCUAUAUGCCGGUGAGGUGGGGCUAUAGCUUGGUGAAGUUGGACUGUAACUGGGAGAAGUGGGGCUGUAACUUGGAGAGGUCGGGCUGUAGCUUGGGGAUGUUGGGCUGUAACUUGGGGAGGUUGGGCUAUAGCUUGGUGAAGUAGGUGAGUACGAUGGACUGGUAGGAGAAUAGGCAGGACUGGUUGGACUAUAACCAGGAGAACUUGGACUAUAAGUUGGUGAGGUAGGGCUAUAUCCAGGCGAGGUGGGACUGUAUCCAGGCGAAGUUGGGCUGUAUCCAGGUGACGUGGGACUGUAUCCAGGAGAUGACGGACUGUAGCCUGGUGAUGAUGGGCUGUAUCCGGGUGAUGAAGUAGGAGAGAAGGCCAUUCCACCAACAUAAGGAGAAAACUGGGCAUCCGUGACCGGGGACAGACGGAGAUU
Molecule: long non-coding RNA, 713 nt
Filed under: Citrus maxima (pomelo)
Lineage: Eukaryota; Viridiplantae; Streptophyta; Magnoliopsida; Sapindales; Rutaceae
Description: long non-coding RNA (CMAX_LNC000008)
Source: RNAcentral